GCCAGCACCCCAAGGCUGGACCCCCCCCCACCUCGGGGACACCACGAGGGACGCGAACGCCCCCAAGGUCCCCACCAGCACUCGCCUUCCCCGCCCAGCAUCCACCCGUGCCAAAACCCCGACCCCAGGCAGGAGAAGCCCCCGGCCCCAGCUCCACCACCGGCCCCCAGCCACAGCCCGGAGCCCCCCGGGGACCCCCCCCCAGCCGCCGCCGCCGCCCUACCUCCGCCUGCCGCCGCCGCCCGCCGCCCGCCGCCGCCCUCACGGCCGCCAGCAGCCCCAGCGCCAGCGCUGCCCUCAGCACCGCGGCCAUGCCCGUGGCCGUGCUCCUGCUCCUGCCCGUGCCCGUGCCCGCGGCCGUGCCGCCGCCGCCGCCUCUCCCCCGGUGCCGGUCCCGGCUCCGCUUCUCCACGGCCCGGCCCCGGGGGCGGCCCCGGCCCGCCCCGCCCGCAGGGCCGGGCUCCCUCCGCACCCCCGCCUACCUCCCCGGGGUCCCCCCGUCCCCGUCCCCUGAGUUCCCCCCGUGUCUCCUUCACCCCUCCCGCGAUCACCGGAGCCGCGGGGCCCGAAGAGAGACCCCCCCGGGGCCCCCCUCACGCCUCAGGGCGUGGGGCUGAGGGGGCGGCCGGGCCCCGGAGCACAAGGCUGAGGGGGGCAAUCUGUCACCGCCUCGAUGUUAUAAAUCAGGGGUCGUGCUUGGCUGGGGGGCACCGGGGGGCUCUAACGGCACCUCUAAGGCACUGGCCCUGCGCCCCCCUCGCAGCGAUGCCCCUUUUUUCCCUUCACACCCCCCGGCUUGGCUCCCCUUUGGUCAGGGCAGGGGGCGGCUGUGCCAGCGGGACCCACUCCCAUGGGGGUCUGCAGCCCCGUCACCACGCUGUGCCACAGGGUGUAGGGCCGGGAGAGCUGCCCCAGGGGCUCACCCCACACCCAGCUCUCUCCACCACCCCCCCAAGGUCAGAUCCUUCUCCUCGGCCUCCCCGGCGCAGAACAGGACACACACGGGUGCCACCAGUGCCGGCCAAAGCAACCCUGCGGCCCCAAGCUGCACGAAAUGGCGGCCGGGCCCUAGCACCCGACCUGGGCACAGCCCGAGGAGCCGCGGGCUCUGCUCCUCUCGUCUGGGCUCCCCCACAGCCACCCACAGCCUUUAGGGAUUCUCCUCUGGAGCCCGGCGGCUCCCAGCGACGACAAGUUAACAGCUCUGUUUACUCCCCGCAGUAUUUUGUUUGA
Molecule: long non-coding RNA, 1233 nt
Filed under: Anser brachyrhynchus (Pink-footed goose)
Lineage: Eukaryota; Metazoa; Chordata; Aves; Anseriformes; Anatidae
Description: lncRNA (ENSABRG00000002264.1)
Source: RNAcentral